AGCAGCCGCGGUAAUUCCAGCUCCAAUAGCGUAUAUUAAAGUUGUUGCAGUUAAAAAGCUCGUAGUUGAAUUUCGGGAUUAGUACGCUGGUCGUGCCUUCGGUAUGUACUGGUGUUACUGGUUCCUACCUUCUGACGAACCGUCAUGUCAUUAAUUUGGUGUGGCGGGGAAUCAGGACUGUUACUUUGAAAAAAUUAGAGUGUUUAAAGCAGGCUCGCGCUUGAAUACAUUAGCAUGGAAUAAUGAAAUAGGACGUUCGAUCCUAUUUUGUUGGUUUCUAGGAUUGACGUAAUGAUUAAUAGGGAUAGUUGGGGGCAUUAGUAUUCAAUUGUCAGAGGUGAAAUUCUUGGAUUUAU
RNAcentral lists this ribosomal RNA (356 nucleotides) under uncultured Glomeraceae. RNAcentral describes it as "SSU rRNA". It matches the Rfam family "Eukaryotic small subunit ribosomal RNA", at positions 569 to 929 of the family's 1831-position model. The record is from RNAcentral. Lineage: Eukaryota; Fungi; Glomeromycota; Glomeromycetes; Glomerales; Glomeraceae.